This 201-nucleotide ribosomal RNA is filed under the name Brevibacillus sp. LEMMJ03. Its description in RNAcentral is "partial 23S ribosomal RNA". It matches the Rfam family "Bacterial large subunit ribosomal RNA", at positions 810 to 963 of the family's 2925-position model. Lineage: Bacteria; Bacillati; Bacillota; Bacilli; Caryophanales; Paenibacillaceae. The record is from RNAcentral.
UGUGGCUAGCGGUGAAAUUCCAAUCGAACUCGGAGAUAGCUGGUUCUCCCCGAAAUAGCUUUAGGGCUAGCCUCGGAUGGGACCCCACUGGACGCGAGCGUAAGCUUGUGUCCAGUGGGUCCAGUGAGAGUCUUGGAGGUAGAGCACUGAUUGGGCUAGGGGCCCUCAUCGGGUUACCGAACUCAGUCAAACUCCGAAUGC